Numida meleagris (helmeted guineafowl) is the source of this 2384-nucleotide long non-coding RNA. RefSeq lists it as uncharacterized. The transcript is spliced from 5 exons. Lineage: Eukaryota; Metazoa; Chordata; Aves; Galliformes; Numididae. The record is from RefSeq and is a predicted model, not a curated record.
GCCCCGCCCACUCCCGCGCCGCACCAACCGCGUCAGGAGGGAGCCGCCAUUUUGGCUCCGCACCGCCCCCUCAGGUGGCGCUCUGUGGUGCUCUGUGGCGCCUCGGGCUGCGCUGAGGCUGCGCUCCGCUAGGCGGUCUGUCCCGAAUUCGAUACAUUAUGUGGAAUGGGAACCUGGACUACCUCUUGCACAAAGCUGUUGAGGAAAAGCAUAUGAGAUGCUUCCGAGUUUUCAUGGGGGCAUUUUGUGAGAUUUCUGGAACUGGAAGCCAAACACUACUGCCAACUCCGCAGCCACAGGGCACUCCCAAGAUAGGCUGACGUUCUCUUUGUUCCAUUCACAGCGUUGGAUUUAUGGGAUCAGUGUGGGAAGGACUGACUUGAUGGACCGAACAGGAUUCAGUGCUGAACCUACAGAUGUGCAUUUACUGGAGGGCUCACAGAAGGUGAUUCCAGCAGAUGCCAGCUGUGAGCUUCCUGCUAUUGUAAGGUUGUACAGCCAAGGAAUGCUGAGUCAGGUGGAAGUGAAAAAUAACUCCAGGCUGUCCGGGCAUCCAGAAGCCCUGAGGAUUUCACAAGUACCACAGGCUGAGGAUGUUUGUGGACUAAACAACUGCAGCACUUGCAUCAAAUGAGAAAAGUAGUUUUCCUCCUUCAGAGUAACAGGUAAACGAUAAAGCAAUUUAAGCACUGCCAUGGUAACGGUGUUUGGAGACAAAAACUGUUUAAAACUUCCAUGUUUAUGUCACAUAGCUUUGUGAACUUGUUAAUAAAACAUCUCUGCACAUAUCCUCCCCCACCCACCACAUGACUUUUGUCAUCGGAAAGCAUAAAACCAGCAGUUCUACAUCUGCUCUCAGGAACAAGAGGGAUGCUGAUGUAUUCUGAAUACUGAUUCAACUUUGGAAACUGAAGUUCAGUACUAAGUGGAAGAGACUUAACCCUUACUUAGAAAAAGAGGAUUAUUUUCCUCUCACACAUCUGAAAAAUGAAACUCGCCCAUACUAUUUCUCCUUUCAGCAUUUCUUUUCAGAUACUUAAUCUUACCCAGUUCAGAGCUGCAAUAUCCUUUUCAGAGUCUCUGUCCAGGGCUGGUUUCCUUCCCAGACACAAUACCACUGCAACUGUGCUGCAGCAUUACUAAUAUCAUAGACUUAAGUCACUUCAGCUCCCGAUUCCCGAGUCACCUUUUUUCUUUAUAGUAAAUUCAACAUCUCUCAGAGCAGACACUGCUCCUUCCCAGGAGCUCUCUCACUGGGUGGGAGAAGCCCCUGCCCCAUCACAGCCCCCUGUGCCUUACAUGCACACCUCUGUCUUCCACCUGCCUCAGGUCUGUUUGCUUCCCUUGCACUCCCCUCCUGCUGUAUAUUUCUUCAUUGUGAGCUACUGCAGCCCUGGCCACAAGCCUUUUUGUGGGGCUGAACUUCAAGACACUGAUUUGAAAUUCUGAUUUGAUUCUCACCCCCUGGGAGAACGGUGGUUGCUUAUGUCAGGGGAUUUUGUUUCUACUGCUCUGUAAAGCUUAGUGCUAAGCCUCAGCAGGGAGUGUGAAGAUAUGCCACCUCCACGCACACGGAGCACCAAAUGUGUGUUCCUUAAACACACCAACGAGCUCAGGAAACAGCUGCAGAGAGCUGAUUGCAGAACCCAGCCAAGCUAAAUGAACAGCCACUACCUGACACAAGCUCUUCUCCAGUUGACAAAGGCAAUCUAAGCCUACUACAUACAGUUCCAAUGGCAGUUCAGACACAGGAAAUUUAAUUCGGGCAUGCUAUAAAUGGCACUACAUGCUCAUUCUUUAUCUUGGUCUUCAAUCUGUUCCUCCAGUAAAACCUUGGAAAUAUUUAUUUCACUGCUAUAUUAAGCCAAGAGGACGAUAUGUACAGGCUCAUGAGUCUAUAUGCAUGCUGUUUUACCACACUGCAAGCUCUAAGGUGACAUUUUCCACAGUAUCCUGAAGUCCAGAAGAAAACAACGUUUGCGUGUAGGCCACGUACAGUUUUUGAGGAAAGUAGAGUUCCCUACAUCAGUGCCAUCUUUGAUAUUUUCCUGAGGCUUUAGGAUUAAAUACAGCUAACCUUGCUGUGAAGCUGUCCCACUCUGGGCUUUUUCAUAUUUAAAUGCUCCAGAGAGAUUCAAGAUGUAGUAAGCCUAUUCCAUGGCCCCUGCAAGAUCAACUGUAUUUUACAGCUUGUAUAAAAGUUCGGAAGGGUCUUAACAAACAGACUACUCACCCUGCUAGGUUCAAACCCAGCUGCAGGUGCAUGCUACAUAGAAAAGAAUAUCAUGUCCAGCCAUCACCCCAUCCCCACUAUGUCCACUGACCACAUCCCUCAGCGCCUCAUCUCCACAGUUUUUGAACACCUCCAGGCACAUUGACUACAC